AUACACAGUACAACUGUUAAUUCUGUAAGU
This 30-nucleotide non-coding RNA is filed under the name Mus musculus (house mouse). The record is from RNAcentral. Lineage: Eukaryota; Metazoa; Chordata; Mammalia; Rodentia; Muridae.